Molecule: ribosomal RNA, 480 nt
Filed under: uncultured Chloroflexota bacterium
Lineage: Bacteria; Bacillati; Chloroflexota
Description: bacterial SSU rRNA
Rfam family: Bacterial small subunit ribosomal RNA
Source: RNAcentral
GUCCGAUUAGCUCGUUGGUGGGGUAACGGCUCACCAAGGCGACGAUCGGUAGGUGGUCUGAGAGGACGAUCACCCAGACUGGGACUGAGACACGGCCCAGACUCCUACGGGAGGCAGCAGUCGGGAAUUUUGCUCAAUGGGCGAAAGCCUGAAGCAGCAACGCCGCGUGAGGGAUGAAGGCCUUCGGGUCGUAAACCUCUUUUCUCAGGGACGAUAAUGACGGUACCUGAGGAAUAAGCCACGGCUAACUACGUGCCAGCAGCCGCGGUAAUACGUAGGUGGCGAGCGUUGUCCGGAUUUACUGGGCGUAAAGAGCGCGCAGGCGGUCGAGCAAGUCGGAUGUGAAAGCCCCCGGCUCAACUGGGGAGGGUCAUUCGAAACUGCUCGACUUGAAGGCGGGAGAGGGAAGCGGAAUUCCCGGUGUAGUGGUGAAAUGCGUAGAUAUCGGGAGGAACACCGGUGGCGAAGGCGGCUUCCUGG